AAGCGAUCCUGUGGUGGCGGCGAAGACCGUACUCCCGCUGGUGCUGGGGCUGUUGGCCGUGGUGCUGACGCUGCGCUCCGUCCGCCCCGGAGCAUCGCUUG
This 101-nucleotide transfer RNA is filed under the name Primorskyibacter flagellatus. Its description in RNAcentral is "tRNA-Thr". The record is from RNAcentral. Lineage: Bacteria; Pseudomonadati; Pseudomonadota; Alphaproteobacteria; Rhodobacterales; Roseobacteraceae.